This 433-nucleotide ribosomal RNA is filed under the name uncultured bacterium. RNAcentral's name for it is "partial 16S ribosomal RNA". It matches the Rfam family "Bacterial small subunit ribosomal RNA", at positions 29 to 507 of the family's 1533-position model. The record is from RNAcentral.
AACGAACGCUGGCGGCAUGCCUAACACAUGCCAGUCGAACGAGACCUUCUGUUCUGGUGGCUCACCGGUGCGUAACGCGUUGAAAUCUGCCCUUGGGUUCGGACUAAGUCGCCGGAAUACGUUCUGGUACCUGGUGAUGACAUAAGUCCAAAGCUUUAUCGCCCAAGGAUGAGCCCGCGUUGGAUUAGCUAGUUGGUGAGGUAAAGGAUCACCAAGGCGACGAGCCAUAGCUGGUCUGAGAGGAUGAUCAGCCAGACUGGGACUGAGACACGGCCCAGACUGGUGGGGGAGGCAGCAGUGGGGAAUAUUGGAGAAUGGGCGAAAGGCUGAUCCAGCAAGGCCGCGUGAGUGAUGAAGGCCUUAGGGUCGUAAAGCUCUUUUACCCGGGAUGAUAAUGACCGUACCGGGAGAAUAAGCACCGGCUAACUCCGUG